RNAcentral lists this transfer RNA (70 nucleotides) under Dicotyles tajacu (collared peccary). RNAcentral's name for it is "tRNA-Thr". It matches the Rfam family "tRNA". From Rfam's summary of the family: Transfer RNA (tRNA) molecules are approximately 80 nucleotides in length. Lineage: Eukaryota; Metazoa; Chordata; Mammalia; Artiodactyla; Tayassuidae. The record is from RNAcentral.
GUCUUAGUAGUAUAUCUAAAUACACUGGUCUUGUAAACCAAAGACGGAGGAUAACUCCCUCCCCAAGACU